UAAUUCCUGCCCUCUGGUGGUUUAUGAUGGAAAAGUUGAUCCGACAAUUUAGACCAAUAGGGAGUCUGGGUAAGGGCUGUGGUGAGCAUGCCGAGUGCCCAAUUCUGAAAGAUAUCAUCUUUUUAAUUAUAAGGGUUGUCUUUUCAGGAUUGGGUACUCGGAAGCCUAAACACCCUUCAGGACACCCACCUGUCUUCAUGGGGUCUAAUUUUUCAUCAACACCUUGGGGCGGGGGUUUA
RNAcentral lists this non-coding RNA (239 nucleotides) under Nitrospirota bacterium. RNAcentral's name for it is "Nitrospirae bacterium (hydrothermal vent metagenome) 6S RNA". It matches the Rfam family "6S / SsrS RNA". From Rfam's summary of the family: E. coli 6S RNA was the first non coding RNA to be sequenced, but its function was unknown until recently. It consists of 184 nucleotides that fold into an extended hairpin structure with a large single-stranded internal bulge. The record is from RNAcentral. Lineage: Bacteria; Pseudomonadati; Nitrospirota.